Molecule: transfer RNA, 71 nt
Filed under: Bos taurus (domestic cattle)
Lineage: Eukaryota; Metazoa; Chordata; Mammalia; Artiodactyla; Bovidae
Also listed under: 3 other names
Rfam family: tRNA
About the family: Transfer RNA (tRNA) molecules are approximately 80 nucleotides in length. Their secondary structure includes four short double-helical elements and three loops (D, anti-codon, and T loops).
Source: Rfam by way of RNAcentral
UUCCUGGUGGUCCAGUGGUGUACUCUGCACUCCCAAUGCAGGGGGUCUGGGUUCAGUUCCUGGUCAGGGAA